AUAUUUCCAACAACAACAACAAGACCAACAGUAACAACAACAACAACAACAACAGCACCAAGAACAGCAACAGCAACAACGACAGCAACAUCAACAUCAACCCCACCACCACCACCACCAACAACAACAACAGUAACAACAACAUAAGUGAGAACAGCGACAACAGCGACAACAACGAAACAGCAACAACACCACCACCACCAACAACAACAACAACAACAACAACAACAACAACAACAACAAC
This 244-nucleotide long non-coding RNA is filed under the name Hordeum vulgare. RNAcentral's name for it is "long non-coding RNA (HVUL_LNC012031)". Lineage: Eukaryota; Viridiplantae; Streptophyta; Magnoliopsida; Poales; Poaceae. The record is from RNAcentral.